CUUUCAACAUUAAUAUUUUUUCCUGCAAUAUUCUUAUACUUUCAUUAAUAAUUUACUCUUUCAUAAAUACUAGGAUUCCUGCACCUAGGUAAUGUUUGGGUGCAGUAGGUCCUUGGUUUGUUUCUUGUCCUUGUCAAACUUAAAAAUUAAAAUAAGUUCUUAUCACUUCUUUCAGGUGCAGGGGUGGAUCCAGGCAUUUUCAAAAGAGGGGUCCCACUAUAUGUCCCCAUUCGAAUCAUGCAUUGAUCAUCCAAAACAAUGGAACCCUCACACUGGAUCCACCACUGAGGUGCUAGGAAUAAAAUCAUAGACUGAUUGACAUGAUUAAGUAGGAUCCAGAAUAAUAACAUAUACAAUUCUAAGAGAUCUGAUUUCAAAAUCUUAACCGAUAUAUCUCUCAUACAUUCAAGGAAACUACAUAUUUUGACCAUAGAACCAUAUUUAUAGAAAAAGUUUUAAUAAAGGUAAAAGACCAAAUCUGCAAACUAAACUGAAACAUGUAAACCCAAAUUUUUA
This 516-nucleotide long non-coding RNA is filed under the name Mytilus galloprovincialis (Mediterranean mussel). The record is from RNAcentral. Lineage: Eukaryota; Metazoa; Mollusca; Bivalvia; Mytilida; Mytilidae.